Molecule: non-coding RNA, 60 nt
Filed under: Paenalicyclobacillus ferrooxydans
Lineage: Bacteria; Bacillati; Bacillota; Bacilli; Caryophanales; Alicyclobacillaceae
Description: Alicyclobacillus ferrooxydans Fluoride sequence
Rfam family: Fluoride riboswitch aptamer (crcB RNA motif)
Source: Rfam by way of RNAcentral
GUUGUGAAAGGUGAUGGAGCUCACCAUAACCGCCUCGAGGCUAAUGGCUCCUGUGGAUGA